This 265-nucleotide ribosomal RNA is filed under the name unidentified marine bacterioplankton. RNAcentral describes it as "partial 16S ribosomal RNA". The stretch from base 45 to 265 matches the Rfam family "Bacterial small subunit ribosomal RNA", at positions 100 to 339 of the family's 1533-position model. The record is from RNAcentral.
AUAUUUUCAAAGUUUUCGGAUGGAGAAAAUAUUGAGAGAGCGGCGAACGGGUGAGUAACACGUUGGUACAUGCCCCCAAGUCAGGGAUAGCCAGAAGAAAUUCUGAUUAAUACCGGAUAGUCUCUUUGGAGUAAAAUUUAUUGCUUGGGGAGUGGCCUGCGUUCUAUCAGCUAGUUGGUGAGGUAAUAGCUCACCAAGGCUAUGACGGAUACCUGGUCUGAGAGGAUGAUCAGGCACAAUGGAACUGAGACACGGUCCAUACUCC